Molecule: ribosomal RNA, 443 nt
Filed under: uncultured bacterium
Lineage: Bacteria
Description: partial 16S ribosomal RNA
Rfam family: Bacterial small subunit ribosomal RNA
Source: RNAcentral
CCUACGGGGGGCAGCAGUGGGGAAUAUUGGACAAUGGGGGGAACCCUGAUGCAGCGACGCCGCGUGAGUGAAGAAGUAUUUCGGUAUGUAAAGCUCUAUCAGCAGGGAAGAAAGAAAUGACGGUACCUGACUAAGAAGCCCCGGCUAACUACGUGCCAGCAGCCGCGGUAAUACGUAGGGGGCAAGCGUUAUCCGGAUUUACUGGGUGGAAAGGGAGCGUAGACGGCGAUGCAAGUCUGAAGUGAAAGGCGGGGGCUCAACCCCCGGACUGCUUUGGAAACUGUAUGGCUGGAGUGCAGGAGAGGUAAGUGGAAUUCCUAGUGUAGCGGUGAAAUGCGUAGAUAUUAGGAGGAACACCAGUGGCGAAGGCGGCUUACUGGACUGUAACUGACGUUGAGGCUCGAAAGCGUGGGGAGCAAACAGGAUUAGAUACCCUUGUAGUC